GCAGUCGACGCGAAAGUAGCCUUCGGGCUGCAAGUAGAGUGGCAAACGGGUGAGUAACGCGUGGGUGACCUAUCUUCGAGUGGGGGAUAACGUUUCGAAAGGAACGCUAAUACCGCAUAACAUCCCGCCUUUGGAAAGGUGGUGAUCAAAGCCGGGGAUCGCAAGACCUGGCGCUUGAUGAGGGGCCCGCGUCCGAUUAGCUUGUUGGUGGGGUAACGGCUCACCAAGGCGACAAUCGGUAGCCGGCCUGAGAGGGCGGACGGCCACACUGGGACUGAGACACGGCCCAGACUCCUACGGGAGGCAGCAGUGGGGAAUUGUUCGCAAUGGGCGAAAGCCUGACGACGCAACGCCGCGUGGAGGACGAAAACCUUCGGGUCGUAAACUCCUGUCGAGUGGGACGAAUACUACCUGGGUUAAUACCUCAGGUGGCUGACGGUACCACUAAAGGAAGCCCCGGCUAACUCCGUGCCAGCAGCCGCGGUAAUACGGGGGGGGCAAGCGUUGUUCGGAUUUACUGGGCGUAAAGAGCUCGUAGGCGGCUUGCUUAGUCGAACGUGAAAUCCCUUGGCUCAACUGAGGAACUGCGUCCGAUACUGGCAGGCUUGAAUCCGGGAGAGGGAUGCGGAAUUCCAGGUGUAGCGGUGAAAUGCGUAGAUAUCUGGAGGAACACCGGUGGCGAAGGCGGCAUCCUGGACCGGUAUUGACGCUGAGGAGCGAAAGCCAGGGUAGCAAACGGGAUUAGAUACCCCGGUAGUCCUGGCCCUAAACGAUGAAUGCUUGGUGUGGCGGGUAUCGAUCCCUGCUGUGCCGAANCUAACGCAUUAAGCAUUCCGCCUGGGGAGUA
RNAcentral lists this ribosomal RNA (847 nucleotides) under uncultured Terriglobales bacterium. Its description in RNAcentral is "SSU rRNA". It matches the Rfam family "Bacterial small subunit ribosomal RNA", at positions 57 to 882 of the family's 1533-position model. Lineage: Bacteria; Pseudomonadati; Acidobacteriota; Terriglobia; Terriglobales. The record is from RNAcentral.